AUGUUUGUUAACUGAAUGAAUCGCCCCUGGUUGUUCCGAAACAGACCCUCCUGGGCCGUGUGGUGAGCAGCUCCGCAUCUGUGUUCCCCAGUGUGGCUGCGGGUAGGGGAGGGCUGCAGUGGGGGCCGGACUGUGGGGGACAUAUUCUCUGGCCUUGGGGGACAGGUUAGGGGACAUGAGACAGCUGCACAAUAGUCUCCCCCAGUGAGUCACUGGGGGGAAAUAGCAGAGAUAGAUUGGCUGGGGCAGCUGCUCCUGCUGGGGAGGGGUCAGGGCCUUCAUGUUCCCCCAGAUCCCCUGAGACCCCCGGGGUGGGGCAGACAGCACCCAGGCCUGAGCCAAAGCUCCCUGCCAGCCCUUGUAGAUGAGCGGGCUUGUUGGGAUGAACAUGACCAUGAUUGUGCAAGAGAGCUGAGGGAGGUCCCAGCCGGUGUGCACUGGAGAACGCCGGCUCCCCCUCCCCUGCUUUGGGGUCCUUGCCCCUCCAUGGGUCUCCAGACUCGGCUCUGUCCCUGGGGCUCCCCGUUCUCCCUCCUGCAGGCCGUGCGCUUAUCUCCGAGACUGUGGAUCCCGGUCUCCCGCGCUGUGUCCCCCCCAUCCUUGCUGCGCGGCUGCCUCCUGUCUCUCCCUCCCCCUCCCCUUCUCCUCGGCUCUGUCCUUGUCCUAGCUUGCCCUGGGAGGACGGACAAGCAGGGGCUGGGCCCGAGCGCCACCCCCGGCCCCCCGGGGAUGGGGCCAUCUUUCCGAGGAGCCUGAUGGGGCUUCUCUGCCAGGAAAGGGGGGGCUAAGGGGAGGAUCGGCAGGGGGCAGGGGCCGCUCCCUCCCUUCUUCCCUCCGCACACCCGCUGACGCUUUGGGCUAAAAACACCCGAGGGGGCCGCCGGGGGAGUAUCGCCUUCCCCGGCCCGAGGCUAAAGGGGCUGAGCGGGCGCGGCCGCAGGCAGACGCCAGAGACACCAUGAUCUUCCCAGAGGCCGCGCAGUUUGUGGUCAAUUAUUUGCUGAACCGGAGGCCCCGGGCGACGCCCCCGCACCGCCUGGACCAGGAACUCUGCUUCUGGGGAGUGCGAGGGCCCCCUCCCCCCGAGCCGGCCGCCCGCCGCAGCCUGGGCGACUUCUGGCUGAGCCCCCAGCGCCGCUGGCCGCCGGGGGCCUCGUGGCGCUGGCCCAGCCGCCGCCUGCUGCUCUUGCCCCCGGCUACCGGGCUGGGCGACGUGCCCUCGGCGCGCUGGCCGGGCUGCUUCUCCGCGCGCCCCAACCUCGUGUGGAAGCACCGCUGGCAGAGUCUCAAUCACGAAUUUCUGGGCAGAAGGAUGAGACGCCUGAUGCCCCUGUACCUGUGACGCCCGAGGGCAGGAUUAAGAAGAUUGAAGCCUCCUAUCAAGAGUCUCCCCAUCUCUCCUUCUCCAUGUCUCCAGUUCUCUCUACAACUGCGUCUUCUCCUUUGCCCUUGCCACAGGACAAGGUGACUGUCCUUUGAUCCCACCCCCCUUUUUCUCCUCUGGGAGUCUGUCCUGUCAGCCAUUUCUCCCUUUCUCACAUUGUUCCCCCUCUAGAAUGGAAGCUCCUGAAGGGCAGGAACUGUUUCAAUUUUGUCUUUAUGUCUCCAGUGCCUGGCUCCGGGUGGGUAUUCAAUAAAGAUUUGUUGAUUGAUUGAAUUUUUUUAUUUAUUGACUCUUUCCUUAAUGCUUACAAACUGGUCUCCUUUCUCUUUAAAGAUCCUCCACCACCGUGUUUUUUCAAACAAUCAUCCUAUUUUGUAGAGCAUACAUUUUCAGCUAGAGGUCAUCCAAUCUAGUCCAUUCUCAGAGCUCUUGCCCAAAGGCCACACAAGUAUCAAGUGGCAGAAUUAGGUUCUGAACCCAGGUCCUCUGACUCAAUCUUUCUGCUGUCCCAAGCUUCUUUCCCUCCUCACUUUCACAGCUAAUC
This is a long non-coding RNA of Sarcophilus harrisii (Tasmanian devil), 1928 nucleotides long. The record is from Ensembl. Lineage: Eukaryota; Metazoa; Chordata; Mammalia; Dasyuromorphia; Dasyuridae.